GGCGGAGUCUAGUGAUGGCCACGCCUCUCUUCAAAAACACAGCUACACUUCACUUAAAGCUCUCUGCCUUCACUGUGCUGUUCACUUCAUGGAUUACAAGAUGGAUUUCUUGACUUGUGGAGAGAAGGAGCCGCUGUAUGCCAAAUACAGCACUUUUCCCGGAUGGCAUUCUUCACACACAUAUCAGCACAAACCUUCUACAACCACUUGCCUGCAACACCUGUCAGAGUACAUCGACUCAGCUGGUGAGCCAAAAACUUGGGUGGCAUCAGGUACCAGAACUACCAGGGAUAUUUAUGACCUUAACAAGCAGACUGAAAUAGCAUCAACUGCAAAUUUUCAUUUACACACCAAGUUAUCUCACAGAGAAUUAAAGGACUACAUUGGUGAAGUGAGAAAUCCUGUAACAAUAGAAAAACAGAGAUCAGAUAAGGGAAGGUAUGCAGAAAGAGACUCACAUGCACAGCACAAAGGGUGGGAAAACACAUGGCCAUUAAACUACAGAGGAAUAAGAGAAAACUUUGGAACAAACAGUCAUAAUGAGAUGCAAGUCUAUGCCGAUUGC
Carassius carassius (crucian carp) is the source of this 565-nucleotide long non-coding RNA. RefSeq lists it as uncharacterized. The record is from RefSeq and is a predicted model, not a curated record. The transcript is spliced from 3 exons. Lineage: Eukaryota; Metazoa; Chordata; Actinopteri; Cypriniformes; Cyprinidae.